Molecule: ribosomal RNA, 2046 nt
Filed under: Cyclospora cayetanensis
Lineage: Eukaryota; Apicomplexa; Conoidasida; Eucoccidiorida; Eimeriidae
Description: bacterial LSU rRNA
Rfam family: Bacterial large subunit ribosomal RNA
Source: RNAcentral
AGUGUAUGUGGUGGAUGCCUUGGCGAUUACAGGCGAUGAAGGACGUCGCAGCCUGCGAAAAGCCGUGGGGAGCUGGCAAGCGAGCACUGAUCCACGGAUGUCCGAAUGAGGGAACUCACCCGCAAGGGUAUCUUGAAGUGAAUACAUAGCUUCAAGAGGCGAACGCAGCGAACUGAAACAUCUAAGUAGCUGCAGGAAAAGAAAUCAACCGAGAUUCUGAAAGUAGCGGCGAGCGAAAUUGGAAGAGCCUGCAAGUGAUAUUGAAUUCGAUACUGGAACGGUCUGGAAAGUCCGGCUACAGAGGGUGACAGCCCCGUACGGGAAAUUGGGUUCAAAGUACUGAGCUUGCGAGAAGUAGAGCGGGACACGUGAAAUCCUGCUCGAAGAUGGGGGGACCAUCCUCCAAGGCUAAAUACUCGUAAUCGACCGAUAGCGAACCAGUACUGUGAAGGAAAGGCGAAAAGAACCCCGGGAGGGGAGUGAAAUAGAUCCUGAAACCGCAUACAUACAAACAGUAGGAGCCCGCAAGGGUGACUGCGUACCUUUUGCAUAAUGGGUCAGCGACUUACGUUCAAUGGCAAGCUUAACCGAGUAGGGGAGGCGCAGCGAAAGCGAGUCCGAACAGGGCGAUAUGAGUCGUUGGGCGUAGACCCGAAACCAGAUGAUCUAUCCAUGGCCAGGCUGAAGGUGUGGUAACACACACUGGAGGGCCGAACCGACUAGUGUUGCAAAAUUAGCGGAUGAGCUGUGGAUAGGGGUGAAAGGCUAAACAAAUCUGGAGAUAGCUGGUUCUCCCCGAAAACUAUUGAGGUAGUGCCUCGUGUAUGGCUCCAGGGGGUAGAGCACUGUUAUGGCUAGGGGGACAUGGCGUCUUACCAAACCAUGGCAAACUCCGAAUACUUGGAAGUCUGAGCACGGGAGACAGACAUCGGGUGCUAACGUCCGGACUCAAGAGGGAAACAACCCAGACCGCCGGCUAAGGUCCCUAAUAUUGACUAAGUGGAAAACGAAGUGGGAAGGCUAAGACAGUCAGGAAGUUGGCUUAGAAGCAGCCAUCCUUCAAAGAAAGCGUAAUAGCUCACUGAUCGAGUCUUCCUGCGCGGAAGAUGUAACGGGGCUAAGUCAAUAACCGAAGCCGCGGAUUCGCAGCAAUGCGAGUGGUAGGGGAGCGUUCUGUAAGCCUGCGAAGGCGGAUCCGCGAGGACCGCUGGAGGUAUCAGAAGUGCGAAUGCUGACAUGAGUAACGUUAAAGCGGGUGAAAAGCCCGCUCGCCGCAAGCCCAAGGUUUCCUGCUCUACGUUCAUCGGAGCAGGGUGAGUCGGCCCCUAAGGUCAGGCUGAGAAGCGUAGCUGAUGGGAAGCUGGUUAAUAUUCCAGCACCGAUUUCAAGUGCGAAGGGGGGACGGAGUCCUGAAGGUCAUCCGGGUGUUGGACAUCCCGGUUUACGAGCGUAGGAGGUUGACAGGCAAAUCCGUCAACGAAUCUCCAAGGCGAAGGAUCGAGGUUGAGAGAUCAACUGAAGUGACUGAAUGGGCUUCCAGGAAAAGCCUCUAAGCAUCAGCUUGGAAUUGACCGUACCGCAAACCGACACUGGUGGGCGAGCUGAAUAUGCUCAGGCGCUUGAGAGAACUCAGGAGAAGGAACUCGGCAAAUUGACACCGUAACUUCGGGAUAAGGUGUGCCUUUGUAGUGUGAAGAGAACAACGGAGCAUGAAUGGGUCUCAGAGAAUCGGUGGCUGCAACUGUUUACUAAAAACACAGCACUCUGCAAAGAUGAAAGUCGACGUAUAGGGUGUGAUGCCUGCCCGGUGCUGGAAGAUUAAUUGAUGGGGUGCAAGCUCCUGAUCGAAGUCCCAGUAAACGGCGGCCGUAACUAUAACGGUCCUAAGGUAGCGAAAUUCCUUGUCGGGUAAGUUCCGACCUGCACGAAUGGCAUAACGAUGGCCACACUGUCUCCUCCUGAGACUCAGUGAAGUUGAAAUGUUUGUGAUGAUGCAAUCUACCCGCGGCUAGACGGAAAGACCCCAUGAACCUUUACUGCAGCUUU